GCAAACUGAAUCCACCUCCAAAUUUUCAAAAUCCCAAAACUACACUUAACAUUUUGUAGAACCCUGGCCAGCGCUUGUUCUCUGAAGUCAGUGGCGUUUCUCCUCUGUUCGUUGGUGUCGUCAUCCAUCUGCAUCGUCGUCUUUGGCAGCGUGAGCGUCCGCCCUCCUUAGUCUAUGUUGCACUGCUCUGCGCCAUUAAUAGCAACUGCAUAACACAAACGUCACUAUCAAAGUCUUGGUUACCUCCAUAGCUUUGGAGGAAACUCUUCAAUUUCUCUUAAACUGAAUUCAUUGAGCUGAAGAAUUCAAGAAAGAAGAACGAAAUCGAAGAUGGGUAAUCAGAAGCCGGAAUUGAAGAAAAUUCUCAAAGAUCCCCAAUUCACACUCUUCUCACUUCACGUUCUAACAUCAACCUCAAGGAUAAGCGGCGAAAUUUGAAAGUUAGCAAUGGCACUCAAGGAUCCAAAGAAAAAUAUAGGCUUCCUAGAAUCAACCCAGUUGCUGCUGGUACUGUUAGCUCUAAAAGAUGCUAAUGAAUUUAUAGCAAGUGAAAGUAACAGUGAAGGAAGUGAUGCUAAUUCUCAUAAUUUACAUGUGGUAGUGAUUAUUUUCAACAAUAGAGGUAUAUAUGGAGAUGACCGGAGAACCCCAAAGAGAUAAAUAGACCUCAUAGAGAUGAACUUUCUUUGUUCCAAAAGCAGAUUACCAUGCUUUGAUUGAAGCUUUUGGUGGAAAGGGCUAUCUUGUUGGGACAUCUGAUAAACUCAACUCUUAUCUUUCUCGGUUUGAAAACCGGCCGUUAUCAAUGUUAUUGUUGAUCCCUAUGCUAGUUUAGAGGGUGGGAGGCUGCAACACAAGAACUGAUUUUCAAAUUAUCUGUAUUAUACUAAAACUAUAUUUUCUAUGGUUUUUAUUUUUAGAUUUCAAAUUUCAAUAACACAAAUUACAUAGCCUUGUGGUUUUCUAUGGUGUACCAUGAUAUGAUAAAGACACAAACCAUAUUCCAUGAAUCCACACAAAUGUAAAAUGUUAUGUGAUCAUAGUGAAUACUUGAAUG
This is a non-coding RNA of Arachis ipaensis, 1057 nucleotides long. Lineage: Eukaryota; Viridiplantae; Streptophyta; Magnoliopsida; Fabales; Fabaceae. The record is from RefSeq and is a predicted model, not a curated record.